CCUACGGGAGGCAGCAGUAAGGAAUAUUGGUCAAUGGAGGCAACUCUGAACCAGCCACGCCGCGUGAAGGAUGACGGCCCUAUGGGUUGUAAACUUCUUUUGUAUGGGAAUAAACCUUUCUACGUGUAGGAAGCUGAAGGUACCAUACGAAUAAGCAUCGGCUAACUCCGUGCCAGCAGCCGCGGUAAU
This 189-nucleotide ribosomal RNA is filed under the name uncultured bacterium. RNAcentral describes it as "partial 16S ribosomal RNA". It matches the Rfam family "Bacterial small subunit ribosomal RNA", at positions 338 to 524 of the family's 1533-position model. The record is from RNAcentral.